GAAGUUCUUUUUUUUCCAUUUGCGGAUAAUGUUAGGAAGGUUUACGACGCAAAUGAACAGAACAUGGAGGCCAGCAAGCCUAAUGACGAACGAGAUCCAUCGUGUUUAUUCAUAGAACAGGCGCCUCUCCACACAAGGUAUACAUACGAACAAUGCAGUAUGUGGGUACGUAUAUGGUACAAAAGAAUAAGCGAUAAUAGCACACACACAGCUUGUUCGCUGCGGCUUGCUGCGGCUGCAAUCCGGCUGCGGCUGCGGCUUCUACAGUAUUUUUCUCUCUAUGGAUUGCAGCUGCAGCAAUCCAAACAGCUGCAACAGUGUCGGCUUGCAGCCAGCCGAACACGCCCACAGAUCGCAACGGCCACCAGGGACAGGGACACAACCACACACACCCCAUCACCGCUACUUCUAGUGCUAGCUAAGACGAAAACGAACAGGGUCCAACCCAACCCCGGUUCAGCAGCGAACCGGCACGUCCACGGCAGCGCCUACUGCAUGAGGCCACCGGCGACGAGGACGGAUAAGACGACAGAGCAAGCCACAUCCAGGGCCGACGCCGCGGCCCCCGCUGCCGCGCCCGUGACGGGCGCCGGCGCGGGCGGCACUCCCAGGUCCGUCUCCUGCGCCGACGCCGCGGCGAACAGCACUGCCGCCACGGCCACGGCCACGAGCAGCGCUGCGGCGCGGGACGCCAUCGUGGGCAGAUCGAGGCGACAACACGGACCGCGAGAGCGCGUAGUGGCGGCGGCGGCGGCUAAGCUAAAGCGAGGCAGAGGAGAGGAAGAGGAAGGGGCGGCGUGGGGUGGUGAGACGGGGACGGCGUGGACAGGCGGUGUAUAUAAGGAGGUGGCGUGGCGUGUGCACGCCGGUCGCGGUCGCGGCCACGGCCCGCGUGGGCACCGGGCGCUCGCGUCGCGUGUCUAGGCGCGCCGCGUCGGGCG
This 941-nucleotide unclassified non-coding RNA is filed under the name Zea mays. RNAcentral's name for it is "misc RNA Zm00001eb189360". Lineage: Eukaryota; Viridiplantae; Streptophyta; Magnoliopsida; Poales; Poaceae. The record is from RNAcentral.